RNAcentral lists this unclassified non-coding RNA (2627 nucleotides) under Hevea brasiliensis (rubber tree). Lineage: Eukaryota; Viridiplantae; Streptophyta; Magnoliopsida; Malpighiales; Euphorbiaceae. The record is from RNAcentral.
ACCACAGGCACAAGUUACUUUGUUUAGGGCGAACCACGUGGUUGAUUUGAUUUGACAAUAGAAAGCACGACGUAACGGUCGAAACACCAUUAUCCUACCGUAGCCAUACGCUCCUCAUCCCUACCAUUCGAGGGCAUUACGACGAAAAUACCCUUCGAUUUAGAGGUUGGCAAGCUUAUAUAAUGGUUAUUUAAGUAAUAUCAAAUUUAGUGUUCGAAUACCUGUACGAGUACCGCUGGCACAGCCAGAAGGAGCUUGGAAGUAGCGCAUAUGCCGCCAGGCGACAAGCUUAUACUACCCCGUGACUAAGAUUGUACGAGUAUCUUUUGUCCCUGUCUCUCCCUCUGCCUCCAUUAUUCUUUGCUACAGUGCCUCAUAAUAUGCAAGAGCCAAGUUAACAGGGCAUUCAAAAGAUUGAUCGUAUUGUAGUCUUUUAGGCCAUCAAUUUCAAUUAACGAAGACAUGAAAAACCAAUUAUCUUCGAGCGAUGAAGAUGACGAGUACCCAUCUUCAGGAAUGAUGUAUUGCUGGUGGAGAUCAGCUGCCAAGUUUGAAGAAUGUUCUAGGCUCAAGGUUGCCCUGCCCAACAUUGCAGGCCUCACUCCAAGACUUAGAGUUCUUAGAGAGCUGGAAAGAUUGGCUUUGAUUGCAAAUGAAGGACUCAAUGAACUUCGUUACAAGUUACAAAUGUAUCGCUCAGGUGAUUUCUGGGUACCCACAGGAGGUAUCAAGAAGGAAGAGAUGGACAUUCCACCAGUAAUCACAAUUCUGUUAGUGGGUUUCUCUGCUUCUGGCAAGAGCUCGCUUGUGAACUUAAUGUACAGUGUUCUUGGUCGAACUGGACUCGUACCUUUUGCUCAGACAUCAUCUGGUAAGUUCAUUCCUAUUCCAUGGAAGUUACUAUUUUCGAUGUGAAGAAUUUGGCAGGUGGAGUGAAGUUGCCUUUUUUUUCUCUCUUUCCUAAUCGUAGGGAGUGCUAAAAACUACGAGACCAUGUACAUGGAAGAGCACAACGUAUUGAGAUCACUGCAAAGUGGGUUUUGCGUGUAUGAUUCUAGGGGUUUUAAUUAUGAUAAAAUGGGAGAGGCCCUCGAGGAAUUGUCGAGUUGGAUGAUCGAUGGGGUGCACCAUAAUCAGCCGUGCUUGAGAUCAGGGGAUCAUACUUUGCUCAAAGAUGAUGCAGAAACCGCAGCUCUAAGAUCGUCUUCAAAGUUUGUGCAGAGGAGAGUGAAUUGUGCUAUGGUGGUGGUUAAUAUAGCUGAAGUUCAUAAAGCUCUAAAAGCUGGUGAUUCGAAGCCGUUAGAGGCAACAAGAGAGCUCUUCUGCUCCCCUGCUUUGAGAAACUGCAGUAAGCUCUCCUCUUUGCAAUUAUUGAUUUUUUUAAGUACUCUACUUUUUUUGUUACAUCUUAAAAGUUUAACUACUUUCUAAUUGUACUUUCACUUAAUUUGACAUGUAAUUUAGCAACUAUGACAGUUUAAUUUGACCGCUUAAUAUUGAAGCUUCCCUCAAUUGAACAAUUAAUAUGAUAAUCAUAAACUCAAGAAUACUUACUGCAAUUAGUAUCCUACAGAUUUUGCUGGCCAUAGUGAUUCCUUUUCUUUUCAUCAUUUUUCUGAUAGUGAAGCUUGAAUGGCAGGAUAUAUAUGUAGUCAAGUUUGAUGCCUACAAAUGAUGGGAGAUUUGGUCAUUCACUAUAAUAAAAAUUGAUGUUCUAUCUACCUAGUCAAUGCAAUUGGUUGUCAUGGGUAAUUUCAAGAACGUUGUGUUUGGGUACCAUAAAUUCCUAAGCAUCCUUUCUCCUCGCAUUCAGAUGAUGUUGACCCUACAAGUGCUACCGAAAUUAACUUUGGAAACUUCAUUAGGAAAAUGGUGUUUCAUACCCAUUAAGUAAACCCACAAUUGUUUUUUUUUAUCGCUAUAUAAUACAAACCAAUGCUUCUCUUAAUGGAGGCAUUGCCAUGGUUCCAGAGCAAAUAAUACAUGUUGGAUCUAUUGGUGAUUGCAGAUGAGAACCCCAUUUUGAUUUUGACGCAUGGAGACUUGUUGACUACAGAGGAAAGGAUCGAAGGCAGGCUCAAAUUAUGCGAACGAUUAGGCAUAUCAGAGACUAAUUGUGUAUAUGACGUAGUUUGUCUCACAGAAUAUGGAUUUCUAGCAGAAGAGUCAGAUCCUGUUACAGCCUGUGCAGUAGCUGAAGCAGUAUACAGGGCAUUGCUCAUCUCAGACAGGGGCCACUUUCCAAAGAAAAAUUUCCAGGACUGGGCAGUGUUCAUAUUGUCAUGGCUAAUGACCUUCAUGGGUAUUCUCUUCGCUUUCCUUGCUGAAAUUUGCACCACUCUCGGACACAGAAAAAAAUUGAAGCAUUAAAGGGGAAGGAAACACAGAUUUUCUGUAUAUUGUGUAUUGCCAGUGACACUAAUGUGCUUUUUUCUCUAAUGUAUUUACUUAUAUGUAGAGAUUCUGACAUUUUUAGCUAGGUUUAGGCUAACUCGAGGCUUCAUAUCGAAGCUGAAGCUGGAAUGUUUAUUUGACUCAAAUUGUAAGUUAUUAGUAAUUUUCAAUUUCUCAUCCUCUUGAUGCUAAUUGCUGGAGUGGACAACUGCACAGAUAAUUGUUCAACAGGA